This is a long non-coding RNA of Asparagus officinalis (garden asparagus), 666 nucleotides long. RefSeq lists it as uncharacterized. Lineage: Eukaryota; Viridiplantae; Streptophyta; Magnoliopsida; Asparagales; Asparagaceae. The record is from RefSeq and is a predicted model, not a curated record. The transcript has 3 exons.
GGAUCCAUAUUCAGAUCAGGCUUAGAUCCAAACCUUUGACGGGAGUCAACAAUUUUGGAUCGGAUAUUUUCGGAUUAUCAGACCCAAAUACGUCGCAGAGGACGACGAAUUCCGGUAUCUGCGAUCAAUGUUCCCUCCCCAAAGCCCUAAUUCAACGCAAUCGUGCUCAACCUUGGCUUAUGUUAAUAUUGGCUGAAAAGCAAGUGCCACUGUACGGCUGGGAAGCCUGUAGCAUAAGAGAUUGUGUGGAGACAGUGUUUGGUGUUUAAAAAGAAGAAGAAGAAGAAGAAGAUUUGACUAAUCUCACGGCUACUACAGAAAUGUACAGGAUGUACGUGUCUUAUCUCUUCUCAUUUCUCGCUAUGUUCAUAGCUUUAUGCAUAUUGUUUAUGAGCACAUAAAACUGUGAAUAAAUGCAAAAGUACAACGUGAAUAAAUGCAAAAGUACAACAUGGAAAUGAAUCAUUUCAUGCAGGCUGUAUCAGCAUCAAUAUUGCACAUUAUGUUGAGAUCAUUGUGCCUGACAAUUUCAUGUUGGUCAUCAUCUUGAGGCAGAAAUCUCAGAUUUGACACUGAUUUUGUGUAUUUGUCUUAUUCUUAUUCAUGCACCACUUUUUGGUUGUGAUCUUGAUAAACCAAGUAAAAUACUGCUAUCUUUUUAGCUUC